RNAcentral lists this ribosomal RNA (393 nucleotides) under uncultured Propionibacterium sp. Its description in RNAcentral is "bacterial SSU rRNA". It matches the Rfam family "Bacterial small subunit ribosomal RNA", at positions 993 to 1381 of the family's 1533-position model. Lineage: Bacteria; Bacillati; Actinomycetota; Actinomycetes; Propionibacteriales; Propionibacteriaceae. The record is from RNAcentral.
ACGUCACGCUCAGAGAUGGGUGUGCCUCUUUUGGGGUCGGUUCACAGGUGGUGCAUGGCUGUCGUCAGCUCGUGUCGUGAGAUGUUGGGUUAAGUCCCGCAACGAGCGCAACCCUUGUUCACUGUUGCCAGCACGUUAUGGUGGGGACUCAGUGGAGACCGCCGGGGUCAACUCGGAGGAAGGUGGGGAUGACGUCAAGUCAUCAUGCCCCUUAUGUCCAGGGCUUCACGCAUGCUACAAUGGCUGGUACAGAGAGUGGCGAGCCUGUGAGGGUGAGCGAAUCUCGGAAAGCCGGUCUCAGUUCGGAUUGGGGUCUGCAACUCGACCUCAUGAAGUCGGAGUCGCUAGUAAUCGCAGAUCAACAACGCUGCGGUGAAUACGUUCCCGGGCUUG